This 439-nucleotide ribosomal RNA is filed under the name uncultured bacterium. RNAcentral describes it as "partial 16S ribosomal RNA". It matches the Rfam family "Bacterial small subunit ribosomal RNA", at positions 339 to 795 of the family's 1533-position model. The record is from RNAcentral.
CUACGGGUCGCUGCAGUGGGGAAUAUUGCACAAUGGAGGAAACUCUGAUGCAGCAAUGCCGCGUGGAGGAUGACACUUUUCGGAGCGUAAACUCCUUUUAUAUAGGAAGAAGAUGACGGUACUAUAUGAAUAAGCGCCGGCUAACUCCGUGCCAGCAGCCGCGGUAAUACGGAGGGCGCAAGCGUUACUCGGAAUCACUGGGCGUAAAGAGCGUGUAGGCGGAUUAAAAAGUCAGAAGUGAAAUCCUAUAGCUUAACUAUAGAACUGCUUCUGAAACUCUUAAUCUAGAAUAUGGGAGAGGUAGAUGGAAUUUCUGGUGUAGGGGUAAAAUCCGUAGAGAUCAGAAGGAAUACCGAUUGCGAAGGCGAUCUACUAGAACAUUAUUGACGCUGAGACGCGAAAGCGUGGGGAGCAAACAGGAUUAGAUACCCCCGUAGUC